Molecule: ribosomal RNA, 572 nt
Filed under: Habrophallos collaris (Collared blind snake)
Lineage: Eukaryota; Metazoa; Chordata; Lepidosauria; Squamata; Leptotyphlopidae
Description: partial large subunit ribosomal RNA
Rfam family: Bacterial large subunit ribosomal RNA
Source: RNAcentral
ACGGCCAGUCCGACUGUUUAACAAAAACAUAACCUUUAGCCAAACAAGUAUUAAAGGCAACGCCUGCCCAGUGAGAAAAAUCUUAAACGGCCGCGGUACCCUAACCGUGCAAAGGUAGCAUAAUCACUUGUCCACUAAUUAUGGACUAGUAUGAAUGGCCACAUGAGAGUCAAACUGUCUCUUAUAACCCAUCAGUGAAACUGAUCUUACAGUCCAAAAGCUGUAAUAACCCCAUAAGACGAGAAGACCCUGUGAAACUUUAAACUACCCCUCACAUAAACCCUGAGGGCACUUUUCAGUUGGGGCGACUUUGGAAAAAACAAAACUUCCAAACACAUAGGGAUAUUCCUCCCACAUUAAGGCCCACACGCCAACUAUACGAUCCAGUAAAUCUGAUAAAUGAACCAAGCUACUCCAGGGAUAACAGCGCUAUCUUCCUCAAGAGCCCAUAUCAAAAGGAAGGUUUACGACCUCGAUGUUGGAUCAGGGCACCCAAGCGGCGCAGCCACUGCUAAAGGUUCGUUUGUUCAACGAUUAACAGCCCUACGUGAUCUGAGUUCAGACCGGAGGGU